GCGAGUGAAGCGGCAAAAGCUCAAAUUUGAAAUCUCCUUCGGGCGAGUUGUAAUUUGAAGAAGGCGACUUUGGAAUGGGCCCUUGUCUAUGUUCCUUGGAACAGGACGUCACAGAGGGUGAGAAUCCCGUGCGAUGGGGUGUCCCGUUCCGUGUAAAGUGCUUUCGACGAGUCGAGUUGUUUGGGAAUGCAGCUCUAAGUGGGUGGUAAAUUCCAUCUAAAGCUAAAUAUUGGCGAGAGACCGAUAGCGAACAAGUACAGUGAUGGAAAGAUGAAAAGCACUUUGAAAAGAGAGUGAAAAAGUACGUGAAAUUGUUGAAAGGGAAGGGCUUGAGAUCAGACUUGGUGACUCGUCACUGGGCCAGCAUCGGUUCGGGUGGCAGGACAAGACCGUAGGAAUGUGGCUCUGCUUCGGCGGAGUGUUAUAGCCUGCGGAGAUACUGCCUGCCCGGACCGAGGACUGCGGCAACUAGGAUGCUGGCAUAAUGAUCUUAAGCCGCCC
RNAcentral lists this ribosomal RNA (501 nucleotides) under Teunomyces luguensis. Its description in RNAcentral is "eukaryotic LSU rRNA". It matches the Rfam family "Eukaryotic large subunit ribosomal RNA", at positions 89 to 650 of the family's 3401-position model. The record is from RNAcentral. Lineage: Eukaryota; Fungi; Ascomycota; Pichiomycetes; Serinales; Debaryomycetaceae.